GCGGCGGACGGGUGAGUAAUGCCUAGGAAUCUGCCUGGUAGUGGGGGACAACGUUUCGAAAGGAACGCUAAUACCGCAUACGUCCUACGGGAGAAAGCAGGGGACCUUCGGGCCUUGCGCUAUCAGAUGAGCCUAGGUCGGAUUAGCUAGUUGGUGAGGUAAUGGCUCACCAAGGCGACGAUCCGUAACUGGUCUGAGAGGAUGAUCAGUCACACUGGAACUGAGACACGGUCCAGACUCCUACGGGAGGCAGCAGUGGGGAAUAUUGGACAAUGGGCGAAAGCCUGAUCCAGCCAUGCCGCGUGUGUGAAGAAGGUCUUCGGAUUGUAAAGCACUUUAAGUUGGGAGGAAGGGCAGUAAAUUAAUACUUUGCUGUUUUGACGUUACCGACAGAAUAAGCACCGGCUAACUCUGUGCCAGCAGCCGCGGUAAUACAGAGGGUGCAAGCGUUAAUCGGAAUUACUGGGCGUAAAGCGCGCGUAGGUGGUUCGUUAAGUUGGAUGUGAAAUCCCCGGGCUCAACCUGGGAACUGCAUUCAAAACUGUCGAGCUAGAGUAUGGUAGAGGGUGGUGGAAUUUCCUGUGUAGCGGUGAAAUGCGUAGAUAUAGGAAGGAACACCAGUGGCGAAGGCGACCACCUGGACUGAUACUGACACUGAGG
Molecule: ribosomal RNA, 660 nt
Filed under: Pseudomonas sp. AR-370
Lineage: Bacteria; Pseudomonadati; Pseudomonadota; Gammaproteobacteria; Pseudomonadales; Pseudomonadaceae
Description: bacterial SSU rRNA
Rfam family: Bacterial small subunit ribosomal RNA
Source: RNAcentral